UUGUUUUCACGGCAGCAUAUAUACUGUAAUUGGAAUGAUACAGAGAAGAUUACCAUGGCCCCGGCCCAAGGAUGACAUGCAAAUUUGUGAAGCAUUCCACAUUUUU
Small nuclear RNA from Chlorocebus sabaeus (green monkey), 106 nucleotides. Lineage: Eukaryota; Metazoa; Chordata; Mammalia; Primates; Cercopithecidae. The record is from Ensembl.